Molecule: ribosomal RNA, 305 nt
Filed under: uncultured bacterium
Lineage: Bacteria
Description: partial 16S ribosomal RNA
Rfam family: Bacterial small subunit ribosomal RNA
Source: RNAcentral
ACAGCAGCCGCCACGGUAAUACGUAGGGGGCAAGCGUUAUCCGGAAUUACUGGGUGUAAAGGGAGUGUAGACGGUUAAACAAGUCUGAAGUGAAAUGCCGGGGCUCAACCCCGGAGCUGCUUUGGGAACUGUAGAACUGGAGUGUCGGAGGGGUAAGCGGAAUUCCCAGUGUAGCGGUGAAAUGCGUAGAUAUUGGGAGGAACACCGGCGGCGAAGGCGGCUUACUGGACGACAACUGACGUUGAGGCUCGAAGGCGUGGGUAGCAAACAGGAUUAGAUACCCCCGUAGUCCCUGUCUCUUAUAC